RNAcentral lists this ribosomal RNA (460 nucleotides) under uncultured bacterium. Its description in RNAcentral is "partial 16S ribosomal RNA". It matches the Rfam family "Bacterial small subunit ribosomal RNA", at positions 338 to 795 of the family's 1533-position model. The record is from RNAcentral.
CCUACGGGAGGCAGCAGUGAGGAAUAUUGGUCAAUGGGCGUAAGCCUGAACCAGCCAAGUCGCGUGAGGGAUGAAGGUUCUAUGGAUCUUAAACCUCUUUUAUAAGGGAAUAAAGUGUGGGACGUGUCCUUUUUCGUAUGUACCUUAUGAAUAAGGAUCGGCUAACUCCGUGCCAGCAGCCGCGGUAAGACGGAGGAUCCGAGCGUUGUCCGGAUUUCUUGGGUUUAAAGGGUGCGUAGGCGGCCUUGUAAGUUAGCGGUGAAAGUCUGUGGGUCAACCAUAGGAGUGCCGUUGAAACUGGGAGGCGUGAGUAUGUUUGAGGUAGGCGGAAUGCGUGGUGUAGCGGUGAAAUGCUUAGAUAUCACGCAGAACCCCGAUUGCGAAGGCAGCCUGCCAGGCCAUGACUGACGCUGAUGCACGAAAGCGUGGGGAUCAAACAGGAUUAGAUACCCUUGUAGUC